UAUUUUUUUUUCCCACCGAGAGACCUCCAUUUUGUUAGACCACGUAUUAGAGACUUCAGUAAAUAUUGGCAAAUUUUACCUGUGCUGAAAACAGAAUCAUUUUGGAUAUUUGAUGCCCACUGAAUUAGAAUUGAAGGAAAGGGCUUUUAAAAAUACAGUUAGAUUAGAAUCCUUAGAAAGAGUUAUUUACGUGUUUGUUUCUAAAAAUGAUGAAAUGUUGCUUUUGGGGGAUAAUUAACAAUGUACUUUCAAAUUAAAGUUCAGCACUUUCUUAAAAAAAAAAAAAAACAAGUCCAAAUCCUGACUUGUAAAAACUCGUUUAGGCAAGUUUUUUAGCGAUUUAAAUGCUUUUUUUUUUUUUUUUUUUUUUUUUUUGGACAAGUUUGGCUUACAAGAAAAGACGUACAUAAAUUUAGCUUAAUUGUAAAUCCUGUUGAAUUUUCUUGAGUUCUUUGCGGAAAAUAUGGGAGAAGAUAGAACCUAUUUCAAAUCUUUUUUAGCAAUACUUAAUACAGCUUUCAGUGUAAGGUUAAGUCCUAAUAAAAACCCACUGGAAAUUUUUCUUAAAGAUAGAUACAGGUGGAUAACAGAUUUAUUGUAUAGAGAGGAGGGAAAAAAUGGAAAGAAAAUAAGAUUUAUUUGUGAGUAGUAAGUAAUCCCUUGAAAGUUAAGUAAUUAAAAACACCACUGGAAUAACCUAACCUUUCAUGCUUGGGUAAGAAUGUUUAUAAUUGCAGCAUGUCUUAACUUUCUUCCUUCUCCAUCAUAAGUGAGGAUAUUUAGAAGGGGCUUCAUACAGGAACUUAACAGUUCAAUAUUUGUAAUAACAUUUUAGAAAUCUUAAAGGCUUACCUUAUGUAAUCUUUAAAUAUGAAUUGAUGCCAUUAUUGGUAACUUCUGCAUAGAUAGGAUUUCCUUAUGUAUUUUACUGGGAGGUUAGUUGGAUCAAGGUAACUAUGACCUGACAAUUUACUUUUCUUUUUUUUUUCCCUGUGUAGUCCUGGCUGACCUGGAACUCACUCUGUAGACCAGGCUGGCCUGGAACUCAGAAAUCCUCUUGCCUCUGCCUCCCAAGUGCUGGGAUUAAAGGCAUGCCCGGCUGACAAUUUUCUGAUAGCAGCCCCCCUCUAGUAUUACAAAACUGAACUGUUAAAUAUGUAGUAUAUCUGUAAAUUUCUCUUUGUAGUCCCAGAAUGAAGCUGGAUUCUUAAAGUUUAAUUAUUUUUUUACUUAAAUUUAUAUUCCUGUGUCUGUCCCUGAAUAUUUUUUAAUCCUUCAGACCUAUUGAACUUAAAAAUAAACACAUAUUUAUGAGUAAACAAUAGUAUUUGGUUGAAGUGAUUUGAUUUUCAGUGCUGUAUUGAUUCAGAAGAAGCAUCAAUUUUGCCUUUGUAGAACGCUAAGGCAGGAGAAUUUCAGUGAGUUCAAGGCUACCCUAGGUUACAUAGUUCCAGGCUAGCCUGAGUUAAGGCAAGACCCUGCCUCAAGCAAAAACAUU
Molecule: long non-coding RNA, 1498 nt
Filed under: Mus musculus (house mouse)
Lineage: Eukaryota; Metazoa; Chordata; Mammalia; Rodentia; Muridae
Description: long non-coding RNA chr6:38552518-38554016
Source: RNAcentral